RNAcentral lists this ribosomal RNA (424 nucleotides) under uncultured Lactobacillus sp. RNAcentral describes it as "bacterial SSU rRNA". It matches the Rfam family "Bacterial small subunit ribosomal RNA", at positions 358 to 774 of the family's 1533-position model. Lineage: Bacteria; Bacillati; Bacillota; Bacilli; Lactobacillales; Lactobacillaceae. The record is from RNAcentral.
GGAAUCUUCCACAAUGGACGAAAGUCUGAUGGAGCAACGCCGCGUGAGUGAAGAAGGUUUUCGGAUCGUAAAACUCUGUUGUUGGAGAAGAACACGUUUGAGAGUAACUGUUCAGACGUUGACGGUAUCCAACCAGAAAGCCACGGCUAACUACGUGCCAGCAGCCGCGGUAAUACGUAGGUGGCAAGCGUUAUCCGGAUUUAUUGGGCGUAAAGCGAGCGCAGGCGGUUUCUUAAGUCUGAUGUGAAAGCCUUCGGCUUAACCGAAGAAGUGCAUCGGAAACUGGGAAACUUGAGUGCUGGAGAGGAAAGCGGAAUUCCUAGUGUAGCGGUGAAAUGCGUAGAUAUUAGGAGGAACACCAGUGGCGAAGGCGGCUUUCUGGACAGUAACUGACGUUGAGGCACGAAAGUGUGGGGAGCAAACA